Molecule: ribosomal RNA, 292 nt
Filed under: uncultured prokaryote
Description: partial 16S ribosomal RNA
Rfam family: Bacterial small subunit ribosomal RNA
Source: RNAcentral
GUGUCAGCCGCCGCGGUAAUACGGAGGGUGCGAGCGUUAAUCGGAAUUACUGGGCGUAAAGCGCAUGCAGGUGGUUAGUUAAGUCAGAUGUGAAAGCCCGGGGCUCAACCUCGGAAUUGCAUUUGAAACUGGCUGACUAGAGUACUGUAGAGGGGGGUAGAAUUUCAGGUGUAGCGGUGAAAUGCGUAGAGAUCUGAAGGAAUACCGGUGGCGAAGGCGGCCCCCUGGACAAAGACUGACGCUCAGAUGCGAAAGCGUGGGGAGCAAACAGGAUUAGAAACCCCGGUAGUCC